AAGUCGUAACAAGGUUUCCGUAGGUGAACUUAACACGUAUCCAACGUUAAACCCCCCGUGAACCUUCAGUGCGCUCGCACUUUCUUAGAAAAGGUAGCAAUCCCUGGUAAAUCAUUGCCGAACAGUUUUGAUUCAGGGACUUCUGAGCGUGAGGCAACUGAAAGUGUCACCAGCUCUGUACGAAUGGCGCAGUCACGAUCGCUAGAGACCGGGUCACUGGGCGCGAGCCCCCCUCGUCACCUUUGCAUGAAAACGGGCCUGCGCUUAAUUGUGCGGCCACCAAACUCGAACAACUGUUAACAAUGGAUAUCUUGGUUCUC
RNAcentral lists this unclassified non-coding RNA (320 nucleotides) under fungal sp. Its description in RNAcentral is "partial internal transcribed spacer region". Lineage: Eukaryota; Fungi. The record is from RNAcentral.